GAUGAAGAACGUAGCGAAAUGCGAUAAGUAAUGUGAAUUGCAGAAUUCAGUGAAUCAUCGAAUCUUUGAACGCACAUUGCGCCCGCCAGUAUUCUGGCGGGCAUGCCUGUUCGAGCGUCAUUUCAACCAUCAAGCCCCCGGCUUGUGUUGGGGACCUGCGGCUGCCGCAGGCCCUGAAAACCAGUGGCGGGCUCGCUGUCACACCGAGCGUAGUAGAUUUUCAUCUCGCUCAGGGCGUGCUGCGGGUUCCGGCCGUAAAAAGCCUUAUUUACCCAAGGUUGACCUCGGAUCAGGUAGGAAGACCCGCUGAAUUUAAGCAUAUCAAUAAGCGGAGGA
This 336-nucleotide unclassified non-coding RNA is filed under the name soil metagenome. RNAcentral describes it as "partial contains 5.8S ribosomal RNA, internal transcribed spacer 2, and large subunit ribosomal RNA". The stretch from base 1 to 120 matches the Rfam family "5.8S ribosomal RNA", at positions 35 to 154 of the family's 154-position model. The record is from RNAcentral.